CCUACGGGAGGCAGCAGUGAGGAAUAUUGGUCAAUGGGCGGGAGCCUGAACCAGCCAAGUCGCGUGAAGGAAGAAGGUACUUAGUAUUGUAAACUUCUUUUGUCGGGGAAUAAAGGCGGAGACGCGUCUCCGGAUGAGUGUACCCGAAGAAAAAGCAUCGGCUAACUCCGUGCCAGCAGCCGCGGUACUACGGGGGAUGCGAGCGUUAUCCGGAUUUAUUGGGUUUAAGGGGUGCGCAGGCGGGAGAUAAAGUCAGCGGUAAAAUAUCGGGGCUCAACCCCGGACGGCCGUUGAAACUGGUUGUCUAGAGUUGGAGAGAGGUAUGCGGAAUUCGUGGUGUAGCGGUGAAAUGCAUAGAUAUCACGAAGAACUCCGAUUGCGAAGGCAGCAUACCGGAUCCAAACUGACGCUGAGGCACGAAAGCGUGGGGAUCGAACAGGAUUAGAUACCCGGGUAGUC
RNAcentral lists this ribosomal RNA (459 nucleotides) under uncultured bacterium. Its description in RNAcentral is "partial 16S ribosomal RNA". It matches the Rfam family "Bacterial small subunit ribosomal RNA", at positions 338 to 795 of the family's 1533-position model. The record is from RNAcentral.